GUAGGUGGCAAGCGUUGUCCGGGAAUUAUUGGGGCGUAAAGCGCGCGCAGGCGGUUUUUUAAGUCUGAUGUGAAAGCCCACGGGCUCAACCGUGGGAGGGUCAUUGGAAACUGGAGAACUUGAGUACAGAAGAGGAAAGCGGAAUUCCACGUGUAGCGGUGAAAUGCGUAGAGAUGUGGAGGAACACCAGUGGCGAAGGCGGCUUUCUGGUCUGUAACUGACGCUGAGGCGCGAAAGCGUGGGGAGCAAACAGGAUUAGAUACCCUGGUAGUCCACGCCGUAGACGAUGAGUGCUAAGUGUUAGGGGGUUUCCGCCCCUUAGUGCUGCAGCUAACGCAUUAAGCACUCCGCCUGGGGAGUACGGCCGCAAAGGCUGA
RNAcentral lists this ribosomal RNA (377 nucleotides) under uncultured organism. Its description in RNAcentral is "partial 16S ribosomal RNA". It matches the Rfam family "Bacterial small subunit ribosomal RNA", at positions 527 to 897 of the family's 1533-position model. The record is from RNAcentral.